RNAcentral lists this ribosomal RNA (151 nucleotides) under Inosperma fulvum. RNAcentral's name for it is "partial small subunit ribosomal RNA". The record is from RNAcentral. Lineage: Eukaryota; Fungi; Basidiomycota; Agaricomycetes; Agaricales; Inocybaceae.
UGUGGCUUGGAUUUGGGGGUUACAGGCCUAGUCUGCUCCCCUGAAAUACAUGAGUGGUAAUGACCUCUCCAUUAAGAUGUGAUACAUAUCUGCAUCUGGUCGAGGGUUCUGCUGCUAUAUAAGAGUUGGAUUUGAUAAACUUGACCUCAAA